GCGCACGCAGCGCGGUUGGAUAAGUUAGAUGUGAAAGCCCCGGCCUCAACCUGGGAAUUGCAUUUAAAACUGUCCAGCUAGAGUCCUGUAGAGGGGGGUAGAAUUCCAGGUGUAGCGGUGAAAUGCGUAGAGAUCUGGAGGAAUACCGGUGGCGAAGGCCCCCCCCUGGACAAAGACUGACGCUCAGGUGCGAAAGCGUGGGGAGCAAACAGGAUUAGAUACCCUGGUAGUCCACGCCGUAAACGAUGUCGAUUUGGAGGCUGUGUCCUUGAGACGUGGCUUCCGGAGCUAACGCGUUAAAUCGACCGCCUGGGGAGUACGGCCGCAAGGUUAAAACUCAAAUGAAUUGACGGGGGCCCGCACAAGCGGUGGAGCAUGUGGUUUAAUUCUUUUUUUCGCCAAGAACCUUACCUGGCCUU
This 419-nucleotide ribosomal RNA is filed under the name Aeromonas jandaei. RNAcentral describes it as "partial 16S ribosomal RNA". It matches the Rfam family "Bacterial small subunit ribosomal RNA", at positions 565 to 982 of the family's 1533-position model. The record is from RNAcentral. Lineage: Bacteria; Pseudomonadati; Pseudomonadota; Gammaproteobacteria; Aeromonadales; Aeromonadaceae.